GGGGGCGAAACGGCUUCGACGGGGAUGUCGAUGCUCGUGGGUUGCGUGCCGAGGCCCUGCACCUCGUAAAAAGCGGGAAACCAAUAGUCGCCAACGACUAUCCGUUAGCUCAGGCGGCUUAAGCCGCCUGCCUCCGACCGUCGAAUGCCCGUAUAGGCGCAAGGAGGUCACUCUCACGGGAUAGCCUGAAGCCUCCUCCCGGGGGGCCGAAGGGCGAGCCUUCUCCCGGGAUGGUCCGAAGGGAACCUUGCCGGCCAGGGUCCCCGGGGACGAGACCCAAAUGACCGGAAACGCACGUAGUGGCCCUGGGUAAAGAAUCUUCGGACGGGGGUUCGACUCCCCCCGCCUCCACCA
This 354-nucleotide transfer-messenger RNA is filed under the name Deltaproteobacteria bacterium CG2_30_66_27. It matches the Rfam family "transfer-messenger RNA". From Rfam's summary of the family: Bacterial tmRNA, also known as 10Sa RNA or SsrA, is named for its dual tRNA and mRNA-like properties. Its role is to liberate the mRNA from a stalled ribosome. To accomplish this part of the tmRNA is used as a reading frame that ends in a translation stop signal. RNAcentral also lists the same sequence under 1 other name. The record is from RNAcentral. Lineage: Bacteria; Deltaproteobacteria.